UGGGGAAUAUUGCACAAUGGGCGCAAGCCUGAUGCAGCCAUGCCGCGUGUAUGAAGAAGGCCUUCGGGUUGUAAAGUACUUUCAGCGAGGAGGAAGGCGUUGUGGUUAAUAACCGCAGCGAUUGACGUUACUCGCAGAAGAAGCACCGGCUAACUCCGUGCCAGCAGCCGCGGUAAUACGGAGGGUGCAAGCGUUAAUCGGAAUUAUUGGGUGUAAAGCGCACGCAGGCGGUCUGUCAAGUCGGAUGUGAAAUCCCCGGGCUCAACCUGGGAACUGCAUCCGAAACUGGCAGGCUAGAGUCUUGUAGAGGGGGGUAGAAUUCCAGGUGUAGCGGUGAAAUGCGUAGAGAUCUGGAGGAAUACCGGUGGCGAAGGCGGCCCCCUGGACAAAGACUGACGCUCAGGUGCGAAAGCGUGGGGAGCAAACA
RNAcentral lists this ribosomal RNA (427 nucleotides) under uncultured bacterium. Its description in RNAcentral is "partial 16S ribosomal RNA". It matches the Rfam family "Bacterial small subunit ribosomal RNA", at positions 355 to 774 of the family's 1533-position model. The record is from RNAcentral.